Molecule: long non-coding RNA, 348 nt
Organism: Thalassophryne amazonica
Lineage: Eukaryota; Metazoa; Chordata; Actinopteri; Batrachoidiformes; Batrachoididae
Exons: 3
Source: RefSeq, a predicted model, not a curated record
AAAGUGAAGCAUUGUGAAUACUUUUCAGAUGAACUGUAAAAGGGUUGUCCGUGGUGCCACGUGUCAGAUACAAAGGUUUAACAUGUUCACAGCUGGUAUUUGAGUGUUUUUCUUCAAACAAAGUAAAGCUAGAGCAGUUAACUAGCAACAAUUUGUCUCUUUAGAAUUUGCAGUUUGCAGCCAUCUUUCCUGAUGUCAAAAACCAGUAUGGCUCGAGGGCCUCAGGUCUAUCCUCAGGAUCUGUGCAGAUUCAAUCAGCUGUUUUCAAUGGAAAACAGAUAAAUGUUCCCACAGGUUCUUACAACCAGAGAUCUAAUAAGAGCUGAGAUUCAUUGAUGUGAGGUACCA